UACGUAGGGGUCGAGCGUUGUCCGGAGUUACUGGGCGUAAAGCGUGCGCAGGCGGCUCUCUGCGCCCGGCGUGAAAGCCCCCGGCUCAACCGGGGAGGGUCGUCGGGGACGGGAGAGCUUGAGGGUAUCAGGGGCUGGUGGAAUUCCCGGUGUAGUGGUGAAAUGCGUAGAGAUCGGGAGGAACACCCGUGGCGAAGGCGGCCAGCUGGGAUACACCUGACGCUGAGGCACGAAGGCGUGGGGAGCGAACGGG
RNAcentral lists this ribosomal RNA (253 nucleotides) under uncultured bacterium. RNAcentral describes it as "partial 16S ribosomal RNA". It matches the Rfam family "Bacterial small subunit ribosomal RNA", at positions 524 to 776 of the family's 1533-position model. The record is from RNAcentral.